RNAcentral lists this non-coding RNA (89 nucleotides) under uncultured Cetobacterium sp. RNAcentral's name for it is "Purine riboswitch". It matches the Rfam family "Purine riboswitch aptamer". From Rfam's summary of the family: Riboswitches are metabolite binding domains within certain messenger RNAs that serve as precision sensors for their corresponding targets. Allosteric rearrangement of mRNA structure is mediated by ligand binding, and this results in modulation of gene expression. The record is from RNAcentral. Lineage: Bacteria; Fusobacteriati; Fusobacteriota; Fusobacteriia; Fusobacteriales; Fusobacteriaceae.
AAUAUUUAUUUAAUACUUAUAUAAAUUUGGGAUAUGGCCAAAAGUUUCUACACCAAACCGUAAAUUUGGUACUAUGAGUAAAAGUGUAU